This 500-nucleotide ribosomal RNA is filed under the name uncultured Glomeromycotina. RNAcentral describes it as "partial small subunit ribosomal RNA". It matches the Rfam family "Eukaryotic small subunit ribosomal RNA", at positions 591 to 1092 of the family's 1831-position model. The record is from RNAcentral. Lineage: Eukaryota; Fungi; Glomeromycota.
CCAAUAGCGUAUAUUAAAGUUGUUGCAGUUAAAAAGCUCGUAGUUGAAUUUCGGAAUCAGUACGUUGGUCGUGCCUUCGGUAUGCACUGGCGUCACUGGUUUCUCCUUUCUGAAGAACCGUGAUGUCAUUAAUUUGGUGUUGCGGGGAAUCAGGACUGUUACUUUGAAAAAAUUAGAGUGUUUAAAGCAGGCUCACGCUUGAAUACAUUAGCAUGGAAUAAUGAAAUAGGACGUUUGAUUCUAUUUUGUUGGUUUCUAGGAUCGACGUAAUGAUUAAUAGGGAUAGUUGGGGGCAUUAGUAUUCAAUUGUCAGAGGUGAAAUUCUUGGAUUUAUUGAAGACUAACUACUGCGAAAGCAUUUGCCAAGGAUGUUUUCAUUAAUCAAGAACGAAAGUUAGGGGAUCGAAGACGAUCAGAUACCGUCGUAGUCUUAACCAUAAACUAUGCCGACUAGGGAUCGGAUGAUGUUAAUUUUAUAAUGACUCAUUCGGCGCCUUACG